Molecule: ribosomal RNA, 188 nt
Filed under: uncultured Chryseobacterium sp.
Lineage: Bacteria; Pseudomonadati; Bacteroidota; Flavobacteriia; Flavobacteriales; Weeksellaceae
Description: partial 16S ribosomal RNA
Rfam family: Bacterial small subunit ribosomal RNA
Source: RNAcentral
UCCUACGGGAGUCAGCAGUGAGGAAUAUUGGACAAUGGGUGAGAGCCUGAUCCAGCCAUCCCGCGUGAAGGACGACGGCCCUAUGGGUUGUGAACUUCUUUUGUAUAGGGAUAAACCUACUCUCGUGAGAGUAGCUGAAGGUACUAUACGAAUAAGCACCGGCUAACUCCGUGCCAGCAGCCGCGGUA